Molecule: long non-coding RNA, 16900 nt
Filed under: Eucalyptus grandis
Lineage: Eukaryota; Viridiplantae; Streptophyta; Magnoliopsida; Myrtales; Myrtaceae
Description: long non-coding RNA (EGRA_LNC001210)
Source: RNAcentral
GCGACUUCUGCUUCCGCCCGCAACUUCUAUCAAGACUUCGACAUAACCUGGGGAGAUGGCCGAGGUCAGAUCCUCAACAAUGGCGACCUCCUCACUCUCUCCCUUGACAAGGCCUCCGGCUCCGGCUUCCAGUCCAAGAACGAGUACUUGUUCGGCAAGAUUGACAUGCAGCUCAAACUUGUUCCUGGCAACUCUGCUGGCACCGUCACCGCAUACUAUGUAAGUCUCCUCGGUAAUUAGUUUGUGCCCCUUGGUCUUCAAGCAUCGUUCUUUUUUCUUGAUUCGAUUUUAACUUAUGCUAUAUUGUUAUUCCCCAGUUAUCUUCAAAUGGGUCGACGUGGGACGAGAUAGAUUUCGAGUUCUUGGGGAAUUUAAGUGGCGAUCCGUACAUUCUUCACACCAACGUGUUCAGCCAAGGCAAGGGCAACCGAGAGCAGCAAUUCUAUCUCUGGUUCGACCCAACUGCUGAUUUCCACACCUACUCCAUCCUCUGGAAUCCACAACGCAUCAUGUAAGAGUCUGAAAAGCUCAAAAUGCGACCUUACUUGCAUUUACAUUGCGCUACACUAUUCUCUGUAGCAUUUACUCAAAAACCGGUGUGUGCGACCAUUGCAGAUUCUCAGUGGACGGGACUCCCAUCAGAGAGUUCAAGAACGCAGAGUCGAUCGGCGUUCCUUUCCCCAAGGCCCAGCCCAUGAGGAUAUUCUCGAGCCUCUGGAACGCGGACGACUGGGCAACCAGAGGCGGGCUCGUGAAAACGGACUGGACACAAGCGCCCUUCACUGCUUCCUACAGCAACUUCAAUGCCGAUAACGCCUGCGUUUGGUCAUCUGGGUCGUCAUCUUGCACUUCAUCUUCAUCUUCUUCGGAUGGUAAUGCAUGGCUAUCAGAAGAGCUCGACUCAACAAGCCAAGAGAGCCUGAAGUGGGUGCAAAGCAACUACAUGAUCUACAACUACUGCACGGAUGCCAAAAGAUUCCCCCAAGGCUUCCCUCCCGAGUGCUCCAUGUCCUAGACGACACAAGACAUUGAUUUUGUAAAAAAUUCGCUGUUCUUUUUCUUCUUUUUCGAGCCAAUUCUAUUAAUUUGUUUUGUGGCCGAGAAGCAAUUGAUAUUUUUUUAUUCUUUGACGAUUGUAGCAUUCCUAUCUUUACUCAAUAAAACAGAAAAUCAUCUUGGAUUUCAUAGUAUUGCUGCGACUCAGUGAGUGGAUACAACACAGAACAAAAUUAAGGGAAUGAAAAUGGAUUUUACAGGCCAGCUCCUGCCUUGAAUAUGAAACUGAUGACACAAUUGAUUACGCCGUCGUAGCUCAGAAAAUUAGAUAAACGCUACGUUGAACAAGUUCUGUUUUUAUGUUGAAUUCAACUCCGAUGUCCUCAUCGAGGGACUGAUUUGGUCGACAUUUCUUCCUGGUCCUUGUGCUCCACAGAAGGAUCAAACAUAGAAAACCGAUCAUCACAAUACCAUCAUGACCAGACAAGCUUUCCAAAUCUGCAAACUCAAAGAACAUCCUUGACUCCAACACAGAAUCAACCAUGAUUUACGGCCGAUCAACCUCAAGUCAACCCAACUUAAAGAGCAAGGUGCCGCAAACUAGGAUCCAAAAAUCGUACUGUGUGCCUGCAACCCCUCCCGCAACUGACGGUACUCUUAGCUGAUUUCACAAACUCUAAUGUUAAAUAGCUUCGGGGACUCUAAUGGCAAUGCUGCACAACCGAACACUUGUAAGUGAGAUAUAACAGGAGUAGUAUCAUAAAGAACCUUCCGAGGAGACAAAUUGUCUAGAACAGGAGUUGGGAGAUCAAGUGAACUGCAGUCUCAAAAGCAAAUUCCCAGAGAUGACAAGGAAGAGCAGACUCAUCAUGAGACCAAGGCCAGUUUCCACUGUAUUGGCAAUGCUUGCAUUCAACGGUCCCAUUUUGAAAUAGAGAUUAUGCACAAUAAAUGCGCCAAUGAAUGCCAUGACUGAGAAGGUAAGAGUGCAUGGUAGAGGAUAAGAACUCGGGUGCUCCAUCACACUAAAUCAUCUAAAGCUUGCACUGAAGUUGAGUCUUCAUAAGGGCAUGAAAGGCUUUAAAAAUGUUGAAAAAUUGAUCUUGAGAUGCGAGGGGAUAAAGCCAAGUAAAUCAAUAAAAUUCAUCAAUAAAACAGCCGUAAUAUUUAUAAAACAGGAGGCAGACCCCAAACAUCAAAAUGAACUAGCUGAAGAGAGGAAGCCCUAGGUCUGUGUACGUCAAAUCACAUAAAUUGUUCCGUCUAGGCGUUCUCCGAAGGAUGGAGAAGAAAGGAGACCAGAGAUUGUGGCAGCAGGAGUUGUGGGUCUGGUGAUGGUUGUAGUGGAAGGCUGGGAUUGUUGUAAAGUUGUUUGUUCGGCAGAGGAGGAAUUUGCAGAGGAAUUUGAGUCACUCGUAUUUAGAUCGAUGGGCUUUUGCCUUUUUGAUACCAAGACAGAAAUAGAGAUGCAGAAAGAAAACAGAGAAUAUAGAAGACAUAAGAAAAGUGUGUGUGUAUAUAUAAAUAUAGAAAGAAUCUCUAGAGAUAGAUAUUGACAACAAAAUUUGUAACCACCAAUGAAGAUAAUAUUUGAAUCAAUCAAGGAUUACAUAUUAUGCGUAGAUUCUGAUUGUGUGGUGAUUCUGGUAACGUUAUCAAUCUCGGAUUGGAUAUCAUGCGAAUAUCUUGAUUAUACUGUGAGUCAUAUGCGAGCUAGAGAUAAUAUUUGAUUCUGGUGUGAGCUCGAAUAGUUAGCAGUGGAUUGCGUCAACAGAUAGCUUCAGAUAGAAUCUUCCUGAUAAUCACUCAAAUCCUAAGUUUGUCAUCCAUACAAAUUGCACAACCAAAGAAGCAUCGGCAUAAUGCUGCUGCAAAUUCAAGACGUCAAAGCAUAUAUAUAAGGCAAAACCUGAAGAUUACCUUCCUCCAACCAAACAAAGUCCAUUUCCAUCUUCUUUUCCCAGCUAAAAGAAUGCACCAAUCACCAGUAAAAGAAAACUCCUUGUACUUAUCCUUUCAAACCAUCCUUGCAAAUUGUCAAUAUGCGGAAUUUCUGAAAAAAGGUGAUAAUAAUCGACUCUUUUAAAUCAGAGAGAAAUAUAAGUUGAACAAAGAGACAGAACACGAAUACACGAAUAAUUUAAAGGAAAUAAAAAUUGAAUAGAGGGAAAGAUAAGAAAGGAUCUGAAACAGAGGAUUUCGGGUGCCUCUGCAGACAUUUGCUGCACGGAAUUCUCUUCAUGAUCUCAACUUGCAAUCUCCGUCAAAAAAUUUUGAUUGAACAAAUAAAGAGGUUAACCCGAGUGAAGUUAACAAAAAUUGAUUGACUUGAGCCAACGCAACAUUCGGCUGAACUUUUUUUACAUUUUAGAACCAAAAAAGCAUGCAUAAUCUGAACAAUUUUAAAUGUAAUUUAUUAUAUUCUCUCCAAAGAUUUGAGGUGUUGUAUGUUAAGUUGAGGUGAAAUAGCAAAGUUAAAUUUGAAAAGGUAAGAAAUGAGAAAAAUAAAAUAGAAUCGGAAUGUAUCUAGAUAGAACGCAUUCCCGAAUCGUACAUGUAGAAUAGUGGGAGGAGACAUGUGGGUUCUCAAAGAGUACGAGUUUUCAAUAUGUCCGCUCUUUGGUGUCGAAAGAGAACGGACUUUUGCUUUCCAUGAAAGUUUUUAGAUGCUUCUCCUAUAAUGUCUCUGCCUAAGAUACAUGAAGAUGAUAGUCGACGUGAUCUCUAAUGUAUGCAAAUUAUAGUGCACGGGAAGAAGGUACGUACCCCACCAUAUGAGAUCCACCGACAUUAGGUGAAGGAAAAGCAGCGACCGCUCAUGGUGAAGCAUGUAGCUGGUAGGGGUGAGCAGCGGUCUAGGGUCGACCCUGGACCGACCCUAGACCGGCCCAACCCUGCCGGUCUUGGUCCGGUUCCCAAGGGGACCGGGUCGGUCCUUGAUCCUGAAUUUCCAGAACCAACACUGUGCGGGUUGGUCCUCGAUCCUAAGAGUUUUUGGUCAGUCCAACCCUGGACCAACCCUGUAUAUUAUAUUAUAUUAUUUAUAAUUAUUUUAUAUAUUCAAACCUAAGUAAAAUGUCUGUUAUAUUAUAUUAUAUUAAGAUGUUAUAUCAAUAGAACUAAUAAUAAUUUCAAUUUAAAACUUUUGUUGAGUAUUAAUUAUGUGUCAUUUGUUUUGUUUUCAGGUAUUUAGAAGUUCAAGUGAAUUAACAAAAUGUGAAGUUAUAUAUUCAUGGUUUAUAUUAAGUAUUUUGAACUUUUUAUGGUUUAAUUGUAUUUUAUUAAUGAAUUUUAGCUGCACUUUAUUUUUCAAUUUGUGUCAAAUGGUAUAAAUUUUUUAAGAGUAGAGUAAUACUGCAGUUGCUACGGUGAUUUGCUAGUCAAGUGGUGUGAAGCUCAUUUUUUGGUUGAGUGGACUUUACAAUCAAAUGCAAGAAAACGCUUUUGCAUAUGGUGUUAUGAAUAUUAAAGAUAGAUGAUUACAAGAACUUUCCAUCUUGUCCCAUAUCUCGAUGAGCGGUUAAUAGCUACGGAAUUUCUAUUAUUGUGUCAUCUUAAAUUUACUAAAUAUGUAUUGGUAUUUAUAAUUUAGUUGCACAAUGCCGCAUUAUCGAUGGAUGUGUAAUUUGAAUUUGUAGGUUUACUUUUUUAAGGAGUAUAAAAAAUAAGACGAAAAAAAUUAUUGAUCGGUCUCGGGUUGACCCUGAAACCGGACCGAACCCAUUGGGUCGGUCCGGUCCUUGGUCCCAAGCUCAAUAGGGUCGGUUCUCGGUCCUAAAAAUUGAGGACCGACACUGUAUGGGUGGGUCCUAGGGUUAGGGGAUGGCCCGAAUCAACCCGGACCAUGCUCACCCCUAGUAGCUGGUGGUGAACAGACGAUAGAGCCCGUCUCCGUGUGGGGAAGCUCCAUGUCGUCUCGAACCGCGUUGCCUCAUAAUUUAUUUGCAUGCUGGACGUGCGUUGGUAGUGGUAGUGUCACUGUUUGUCCUCUUCUUUUUUAAAGCAACUUCUAUAUUGGAAGCCAACUGUCCACAGCUGAGUUAGCGUGGGGGGUUGACUCCCACCAAUCCUUCGUUGCCUCUCCUCAUCUCUCACACGUUUUCUCCCAUCUUCAUCUUCGGUACGAAGCUAUAAAUACCAUCUCCACAUCUCUCCCAUUUCAUCAAUCAACGCAAACACUCCACAUCUCUCUCUCCUCUUCAGUCCUCACUCUCAUAUCAUCUCAUUGAGAUUUGCUUCUCUUCUUCAACUACAGCAGCAGCAGCAGCAGACAGAACACGCCCAAUAUGGCCUCCCUUUCUACUUCUUCGCUUUGCAUCGCCACUCUGCUUCUCGUGGUCGUUUCUUGGGGGACGUUUGCUUCCGCCCGCAACUUCUAUCAAGACUUCGACAUAACCUGGGGUGAUGGCCGAGCUCAGAUCCUCAACAACGGCGACCUCCUCACUCUCUCCCUCGACAAGGCCUCCGGCUCCGGCUUCCAGUCCAAGAACGAGUACUUGUUCGGCAAGAUUGACAUGCAGCUCAAGCUAGUUCCCGGCAACUCCGCUGGCACCGUCACCGCAUACUAUGUAAGUCUCCUUCUUAAUCAGUUUGUGCCCCUUUAUCUUCAAGCUUCCUUCUUUUUUUCUCGAUCAGAUUUUUAAUUUUUGCUAUGUUGUUAUUCUACAGUUAUCUUCAAACGGGUCGGCGUGGGAUGAGAUAGACUUCGAGUUCUUGGGGAACUUGAGCGGCGAUCCAUACAUUCUCCACACCAACGUCUUCAGCCAAGGCAAGGGUAACCGAGAGCAGCAAUUCUAUCUCUGGUUCGACCCAACUGCUGAUUUCCACACCUACUCCAUCCUCUGGAAUCCACAACGCAUCAUGUAAGAGUCUGAAAAGCUCAAAAUGCGACCUUACUUGCAUUUACAUUGCGCUACACUAUUCUCUGCGGCAUUUACUCAAAUACCUUUGUGCGCGACCAUUGCAGAUUCUCAGUGGACGGGACUCCCAUCAGAGAGUUCAAGAACGCAGAGUCCAUCGGUGUUCCCUUCCCCAAGGCCCAGCCCAUGAGGAUAUUCUCGAGCCUCUGGAACGCGGACGACUGGGCGACCAGAGGCGGGCUCGUGAAGACGGACUGGACGCAAGCGCCCUUCACUGCUUCCUACAGGAACUUCAACGCCGAUAACGCCUGCGUUUGGUCAUCUGGGUCGUCAUCUUGCACUUCGUCUUCAUCUUCUUCGGAUGGUAAUGCAUGGCUAGCAGAAGAGCUUGACUCGACAAGCCAAGAGAGGCUCAAGUGGGUGCAGAGCAACUACAUGAUCUACAACUACUGCACGGAUGCCAAAAGAUUCCCCCAGGGCUUCCCUCCUGAGUGCUCCAUGUCCUAAACGACACAAGACAUAGGAUUUGUAGAAAAUUCUCUAUUCGUUUUUUUCCCUUUUUGGAGCCGAUUCUAUCAAUCUGUUAAUCUCUCUCUCUCUCUCUCUCUCUCUCUCUCUCUCGUCGAGAAGCAAUUGAUAUUCUUUUAUUCUUUGACACGUGUCACAUUCUUGUCUUUAUUAAAUGAAACAGAAAAUCAUCUUGGAUUUCAUAGCAUUGCUGUGAUUCUCAGUACACAUGUUUUUACAUGACCCCGAAGUGUAGGUUCGAAGUCUUGUAAUCAGUCUUGUAAUCUAUACAAUAAAUACUCCAAGCAAUGCUAUUUCUACUGUCUAUAAGGAUUUUCCCACGGCUAAUUUAGUAAAUUAAAAAAAUCACCCUCAAAGAAGAGGGAAAACAAAGAAAAAAAAAAGAAAAAAAGAAAAGAAAAAAUAAUUCGAAUUUAAAAAUAAAAGGGGGGGGGGGGGAGAGGAGGAGGAGGAAAUGAAGGCUUGGAAGAGUGUGAGAUAAGAGAAACCAAGUAAGAAAAAGUGGAAAACAUUUUUCCCUAGUUUAAAAGACUUUUUUUUCCUCAUUCAUGGAAAAUGUUUUCCCCAAGCAAUUCAUUUUUUUGUGAAAUAAACGUUGGAACUUUGGAAAACAUUUUUUUAGAAAUUAUUUUCCGCAAAACGAAUGAAGCCUGAAUGUAAACUUUGUAUGACCGGUACAAAAGAUAUAAACCACUUAUUCUUUUAGUGCACCUGGACAAGUAGUGUAUGGCAUAGUAUUUUGGUACAAAAUGGAAUUUGACAUUAUGUAGGAGGUUGGAACUUAGAACUUCAAUGAAUGAUUGGAGACACCAAGGGUAAAAACUUGAAGAUGAGACUCCUCAAGCUAUCUUUUUUAGCGACAAUCUAUUACAUCUGGAUGGAACACAAUCGCAAAUGAUUUCAAAACAAGUAGAUUGAGACUCAUGUUCUGUUAACUAAGAUUCAAAAGAUUGUAAGAGGUAAGACGUCACUCUACUAAAAAUGUAGGUCUUUCUAGGCAAAUGUUUUAUUAGCUCCUGUAUGGAGCCUCCCUCCUUCCAUCUUUUCGCAUUAAUGGUCUCUUUAUAAUGUUAGGGGAUCCCCCUAAGCUUAGUACCUCAUAUGAUUAAUGAUAUUCACAUAUUUACAAUUUUUUUUUUUUAAAAGUGCGAAAAUGAAAACCUGACAGUAGUCGACCAAAGAAUACACAUGGCCAUGUUUUAGAGCUUUAGGACAGGAUCCACCUUGAGUAAAAUGGAAAUUUAAGUAUUCAUGAAAUUAUUCUAAACGUGUGACAUUACACUAUUCUAAUCCAUGCCAAACAAAUUAUUUAUAAUAAAAGUUAUUUAUAGAAUACCCAAAAAAGCACUAAUUAGGGGAUGACUUUAGAAAAUUAGAGAAAUUCCAAACCUAUCAUUUAUGCUCUAGUUUAUUUAACAGUAAUAUAUACUUUUUGGUUUUCUUCCAUAUUUUUUAAUUAUUAUUUUUAAAAUUUGUUUGAAAAAUAAUAUCAAUUCAUUAGACUGAAGUAUGCUUAAUUCAAAUAAACAUGGACCAAUUCAAAACAUGAAUAUCACAUUAAUAAAGCUCGAAUCAACCUGUUCAAGAUUGGAAUGUGGUUUGGGCAUUUCGUCGAACGACCAAUGUGCAUUAGAAUACACAGACCAGUUCGUGACCUUCAAUCUUGACUCGAAAGUGAUCUUAAGCUCAAACAAGACAUCAGAGUUAUACUAAAACUUUUAGGGGAAAAUAUGAACAAGAAAUAAGAUCCCAAAAUACAUUAAAUUAUAAUUUAGCCUACCUUAUAUUGGUUCAACCUACUUUUGCAAAUCGAGGUUUGAACCCUAGUCAAGAAAAUAGGUCGCCUACCCCGAUUCAAGCCCUUAUAUCUAAUAUACUAAAGACUUUGGGAAAAAUUCACUCAAUCUGAAUGAAUGUAUGUAUUACGAGAUUUCAAAUGCAACAAACAUCCCAGAUAAUGAUCAACUACAAAGGUCAAAAUGACCCCUCAAAGUGGCCUUCAUGCAUGAUCCACACAAGCUAGCCAUCUAGUGUGAAUCGGUUCAGUUUUUUGUUCAAGUUCUAAGUGCUCCAUGGCUCAUAUAGAGAUUUAAAAACCAAAUGAAGUUGACCUAAGUAUCAUUUGUAAUCCCAUAUAAUAUUCAUCAAGUUUACAAAGACAGAUAACUCAUGUAAACAAGUGUAGCAAGUCAAGUAUGCAAGACUCUUGAAGCUAGUUCAACACUUAGAAAACCAGCCUCAGAUAUAAGUUUCCUAACUCUUGAUUUUCCAUGGUCAAAAUUGAACAAAAAUGCAUUUAAGAUCCCUACCUUGCUACCUAGUUGCUGCUCCUAAUAAGCUUCUAAGAUGGCAAAGAGAGUAGGAUUUGAAUUGCACACCAAAGAGAGAGAGGGUAUGCUUGGGACAUAUUUGUAAAAAUUGGAAUUAAUUUACGAAAGUACCUAAGUUUAGAGCAUCACCAAGAUAUGUGACCUCCUAGGAAAGUGUCUUCCUGUACGACAAAACAAAAGUUUGAGACUUUGUAUUGGAAGGGCCAAAAGGACAAUAUCUCGACUAAGUUAAUAAAUUAAUGUUAAUGUCGUUACAACAUUAAUUUCAAUUUUCACAAAUAUAAGUCAAGCGCACUCUUCUCAUGUUAGGUGUGGAAUUCUAUUUAUUCAUGUCCCCUUCACCAUUCUAGAAAUCUACUAUGAGCCAUUUUUUUAUCUGAAUCCUCUGGCUCCAACGACUACUCUUUCCCCCAUCAAACGGGAUGUGCUGUCUUCACUAUGAGAAACGACAUUAGCUGGCGGAAAAGCAGCGAGAGGUCAUGAUAACGCAUGUGCUGCUGGCGGUCGAUGGAUGAUCGAGCUCGUCUCUGCGUGGGGGUGGGCGUGCGAGGGGAAGCUUCGUGGUGUCUCUAACCGCGUCCCACUAAUUUAUUUGUACGACGGAGGUUGGUAUGUCGCCGCUCGUCUGUCUUCUUUUCAGAAUCAUAUUUUAAUAUCAGAAGCCAACUGUCCACAGUUGAGUCGGUGUCGAGGUUUGACUCCCAUCAAUCCUUCUUUGCCUCUCCUGUUCUCUCACACGUUUUCUCCCUCCUCCAUCUUCGGCACGAAGCUAUAAAUACCAUCUCCACAUCUCUCCCAUUUCAUCAACCAACAGAAACACCCACAUCUCUCCCUCCUCUUCAGUCCUCACUCUCAUAUCAUCUUUGCUUCUCUUCAGCAACUACAGCAGCAGCAGAAAGACAGACAGAACACGCCCAAUAUGGCCUUCCCUUCUACUUCCUCACUUUGCAUCACUACACUGCUUCUCGUGGUCGUUUCUUGGGCGACGUCUGCUUCCGCCCGCAACUUCUAUCAAGACUUCGACAUAACCUGGGGUGAUGGCCGAGCUCAGAUCCUCAACAACGGCGACCUCCUCACUCUCUCCCUUGACAAGGCCUCCGGCUCUGGCUUCCAGUCCAAGAACGAGUACUUGUUCGGCAAGAUUGACAUGCAGCUCAAGCUCGUUCCCGGCAACUCCGCAGGCACCGUCACCGCAUACUAUGUAAGCCUCGUCCUUAAAAAGUUGGUGCCCCUUCAUCUUUAAGCUUCCUUCUUUUUUUCUUGAUCAGAUUUUAAUUUUUGCUAUGUUGUUAUUCUACAGUUAUCUUCAAAUGGGUCGACGUGGGACGAGAUAGACUUCGAGUUCUUGGGGAACUUGAGCGGCGAUCCAUACAUUCUUCACACCAACGUGUUCAGCCAAGGCAAGGGCAACCGAGAGCAGCAAUUCUAUCUCUGGUUCGACCCAACUGCUGAUUUCCACACCUACUCCAUCCUCUGGAAUCCACAACGCAUCAUGUAAGAGUCUGAAAAGCUCAAAUGCUACCUUACUUGCAUUUACAUUGCGCUACACUUUUCCCUGCAGCAUUUACUCAAUAACCUUUGUAUGCGACCAUUGCAGAUUCUCAGUCGACGGGACUCCCAUCAGAGAGUUCAAGAACGCAGAGUCCGUCGGUGUUCCCUUCCCCAAGGCCCAGCCCAUGAGGAUAUUCUCGAGCCUCUGGAACGCAGACGACUGGGCGACCAGAGGCGGGCUCGUGAAGACGGACUGGACGCAAGCGCCCUUCACUGCUUCCUACAGGAACUUCAACGCCGAUAACGCCUGCGUUUGGUCAUCUGGGUCGUCAUCUUGCACUUCGUCUUCAUCUUCUUCGGAUGGUAAUGCAUGGCUAGCAGAAGAGCUUGACUCGACAAGCCAAGAGAGGCUCAAGUGGGUGCAGAGCAACUACAUGAUCUACAACUACUGCACGGAUGCCAAAAGAUUCCCCCAAGGCUUCCCUCCCGAGUGCUCCAUGUCCUAGACGACACAAGACAUUGAUUUUGUAAAAAAUUCUCUUUUCUUUUUCUUCUUUUUUCGAGCCAAUUCUAUUCAUUUGUUUUGUGGCCGAGAAGCAAUUGAUAUUCUUUUAUUCGUUGACGAUUGUAACAUUCCUAUCUUUACUCAAUAAAACAGAAAAUCAUCUUAGAUUUCAUAGUAUUGCUGCGACUCAUGAGUGGAUACAACACAGAACAAAAUUAAUGGAAUGAAAAUGGAUUUUACAGGCCAGCUCCUGCCUUGAAUAUGAAACUGAUGACACAAUUGAUUACGCUGUCGCAGCUCAGAAAAUUAGAUAAACGCUACGUUGAACUAGUUUUGUUUUUAUGUUGAAUUCAACUCCGAUAUCCUCAUCGAGGGACUGAUUUGGUCGACAUUCCUUCCUGGUCCUUGUGCUCCACAGAAGGAUCAAACAUAGAAAACCGAUCAUCACAAUACCAUCAUGACCAGACAAGCUUUCCAAAUCUGCAAACUCAAAAAACAUUUUUGACUCCAACAUAGAAUCAACCAUGAUUUACGGCCGAUCAACCUCAAGUCAACCUAACUUAAAGAGCAAGGUGCCGUAAACUAGGAUCCAAAAAUCGUACUGUGUGCAACCUGCAACCCCUCCCACAAUUGAUGGUACUAUUAGCUGAUUUCACAAACUCUAAUGUUAAAUAGCUUCAGGGACUCUAAUGGAAAUGCUGCACAAUCGAACACUUGUAAGUGAGAUAUAUCAGAGUAGUAUCAUAAAGAACCUUUCGAGGAGACAAAUUGUCUAGAACAGGAGUUGGGAGAUCAAGUGAACUGCAGUCUCAAAAGCAAAUUCCCAGAGAUGACAAGGAAGAGCAGACUCAUCAUGAGACCAAGGCCAGUUUCCACUGUAUUGGCAAAGCUUGCGUUCAACGGUCCCAUUUUGAAAUAGAGAUUAUGCACAAUAGAAGCGCUGAUGAAUGCCGUGACUGAGAAGGUAAGAGUGCAUGGUAGAGGAUAAGUGUGACAUCCUGAAUUUCGACCUUGUCUCGAUUAAAUGAAAUAGGCAUUUCGUUGAUGCGCCUAUGGUCUUUUUUCUCAAAGCUGAUCACUCUCGAGUUAACUUAUCUAUCGGGUGAAGCUGUUAAGGGAUAUAAACUCGACAGACUUGAGAAUUCAAUCAGAAAUCGAUUGCUCGACCAUGAUAAUUGGCAAGGGUCAAUAUGACACAAUUAUAAUCGAUUAGUAAUCGGAUAUAAUUCGAUUCGAUGGAAUGACGUAAUUAAAUCAUGGGUGAUUCCACAUAAUUGCAAAAUUUGCGUCGAACGCACUAACCCAAUUAGGUGUCGAUUUUGUACUGGGUGUCCAUAAUUGAAAUCUUGAGAUUUUUAUGAUAAUCGAGAGUCACCAACGAGUCGGAGAUGCACAAACAUGAAUUGAAAUUAUCGACCAUGGGUGAAACGCACUAAAAUCCCUAAAAGCUACUUGGUAGGUUAGGUCACGCUAAAAUCAUGAAUUGAAAUUAUCGACCACGGGUGAAACGCACUAAAAUCCCUAAAAGCUACUUGGUAGGUUAGGUCACGCUAAAAUCAUAUCCGGUUCAUUUUAACCAUUGAGUUCGGAAUUUUACGAAAAAAUUGAUUUUCGGCAAAAAGAAAAUAAAAAAGGAAAUUCGGGGGUAGACCAAGUUGGAUUUUUCUACCUCUAGGCUUAUUUUGGGAAAUUAAGCUUAGGAAAGUAUUUUGGGAGGAUGAAAAUGAGCAUAGAGACUUUUGGGGCUUAGGUAAUGAUGGUUAGGGUAUUUUGCUUGGACUCUCUCUCCCUCUCUCCCUCUCUUUCACGCACACCUCCCUCCCCCCAGCAGACAUCUUCUUCUUCUCACAUAUCUUUCCUUUCCUCAUGUGUUCUUCAUCCCCUCAACCUCACGCUACCACACCAUUUUCUCCUCUACACCCACAAUCCAUCAACCAAUGCCAACAGCUCCUUGCCACACACCGCCAGCCCUGUAGCCCCCCAACGCCAAUACAGCACCUUCAUCUCACGUCCACCACCUAGCGGCAUCGUCCUUCACGCCCGCCGCAGCUCCCGCCAAGCUGCCACCGUCCACCACGCCAACGCAACUGCUCCGCCGAACUACUAGCACCACCCCACUUCACUGUCCGACUGCCCAACCGCUCAUUCCAGCCACCGUAGCCCCUCAAGUAGCCACGGUCCAGCAGCUACAAAACCGAACCAGCAACUCCAAGUCGUGGGCCCCUUGCAGUUUUCAGCCUCGGUUGGUCCUAUGUUGGAGACUCGGUAGUUUCAAGUCUUCAUCGCCUUCGCGCCGCCUUUGCCGUGAGCCCACCACUAUCGUAAUCUGGUGAGUUAACUCCAUAAUCCUUGAUUAGGUUUUUAAUUGCACUUAGGGGGUUAGAUUAGUACUAAUUAACUUAGUUAAAUUAGUAUUAAGUGAGAUUAGCCUUAAUAUGGAUUAGUGUUAAUCUAAUUGGUUAGAUUAGCACUAAUGAGGGUGGUUUAGUCUAAUUUAGUGGAUUUCUCUCGAAUCUGGUUACUGGACCCUUGCCGUUUGCUAUUUUUGUGGGGAGAAAUGCACAACGAUUUUGGAGUGGCUUCAUCUUGAGAAAUGUUUUAGAUAUCUUCAGUUAUGACAUAUAUUUUAGUCAAGAUUUUAUGGAUUUAAAAGAAUGAUAUUUCAACUUCGUUAUUUGCAAAAAAGAAUCUCGAAUUGUGCUGAGACCAGUGACUUUUUGGUGUUUAAUGGAUUUUUUUUCAACUCUUAGAGUUAUAUUUUCGAAACGAUUCCUUCACAAAAGUUGUUUAUCAUAUCUUGUAGUUUAAUAGAGUCAAAUUUCAAAUCAAACGAAUAAGUUUUGGCCUUCAAGCCAAACUGAUUUCAGAAAACAAACUUUCUAGAUACAAACACAGUUUUUGUAAUAGUUUGGGCAACUUACUGCUCUCAAUCUAGAAAAAUCUGGGUUAGGUAUCUACAUGAAAAAUGAUCUUUUAAGUGUCCUUUACAACAUAUUCAAAUUUGAGAAUUUUUUGAAUUCGUUUGGUUAUGUUUCUAGAAUUAAACUUGGAGACGCGCGAAUGGCCCAGUUUCUGCUAGUUAGGGCUGGUAGUGGUUUUGUGAUUAUUCUUGGUGCCGUGCUUGCUGGAUAAUGUGUAUUUGGUGAUAUGGUUGACUUUUGGCAUGCUUAGAGUUUAUGCUUGAUAAUAUGUGAAAUUAAUUGCUUAAUUGUGCAAUUGGGUGUCUGGGUUUUGUAUUAUUGCAAAAAUCGGAUUUUGGUAUUUAAAUAGAAAAAUACCGGAUGUUGGUUUUGAUGCCAAAAAUAUUUUAGGUACUAUAUAAAAUCCUGGAAUUUCGAAAUGGGAGAGUAUCACGUUUUAUAAUUUGAUUUGACUGUGUGACCACGCACAAUUAUUUUACCGAGUAUUUUUAAUUCGAAGAAAAUUGGCCAAGUCCAAAUGAAAAUAUUUGAGUGCAAAGCACGAUAUUCUUGGUUGAACAUGGAUGUGCGUGUGAUCGCUUAAGUACCCUGAUGUGUUUACGCAAGAUAGUGAACCCGUCUUGAUGCGUUUACGUAGGAUGAUGCAUGAUUAAGUUCAGAUGCCCUUGACAACGGAUGCCACUUGCAAUAAAGGUUGGGCCAAUGCUCCUUAUGGAAUGCGUUUACGUGGGACGUUGCCGUGCCUGAUGAAGUGAGACGACACCCGGUUAUGCCAGAUGACUGCCAACUAUUGAGUUGGACAUACAUGGCCGAUGGUCGUAAUAACUGCCGAGAGAUGUGCGCGUGCCCGAGAUUCGGGGCGUGACAAUAAAGAACUCGAGUGCUCCAUCACACUAAAUCAUCUAAAGCUUGCACUGAAGUUGAGUCUUCACAAGGGCAUGAAAGGCUUUAAAAAUGUUGAAAAAUUGAUCUUGAGAUGCGAAGGGAUAAAGCCAAAUAAAUCGAGAAAAGUCAUCAUUAAAACACCCGUAAUAUUUAUAAAACAGGAGGCAAACCCCAAACAUCAAAAUGAACUAGCUGAAGAGAGGAAGCCCUAGAUCCGUGUACGUCAAAUCACAUCUAGGCGUUCUCCGAAGGAUGGAGAAGAAAGGAGACCAGAGAUAGUGGCAGCAGGAGUUAUGGGUCUGGUGAUUGUUGUAGCGUUGUUUACUCGGCAGAGGAGGAAUUUGCAGAGGAAUUUGAGUCACACGUAUUUAGAUCGAUGGGCUUUUGCCUUUUUGAUACCAAGAUAAAAAUAGAGAUGCAGAAAGAAAACAGAGAAUAUAGGAGACAUAGGAAAAGUGAGUGUAUAUAUAUAAAUAUAGAAAGAAUCUCUAGGGAUAGAUAUUGACAACAAAAUUUGUAACUACCAAUGAAGAUAAUAUUUGAAUCAAUCAAGGAUUACAUAUUAUGCGUAGAUUCUGAUUGUGUGGUGAUUCUAGUGCGAGAACGUUGUCAAUCUCGGAUUGUAUAUCAUGCGAAUAUUCUGAUUAUGCUAUGAUUCAUAUGCGAGCUAGAGAUAACAUUUUAUUCUGGAGUGAGCUCGAAUAAUUAGCAGUGGACUGGGUCAACAGAUAGCUUCAAAUAGAAUCUUCAUGCUAAGUUUGUCCCCCCAUACAAAUUGCGCAACCAAAGAAGCAUCGGCAUAUAUAUUAUAAAAGACAAAACCUGAAGAUUACCUUCCUCUAACCAAACAAAGUCCAUUUCCAUCUUCUUUUCCCAGCUAAAAGAAUGCACCAAUCACCAAUAAAAGAAAACUCCUUGUACUUAUCCUUUCAAACCAUCCUUGCAAAUUGUCAAUAUGCCGAGUUUCCCAAAAAAGGUGAUAAUAAUCGACUCUUUUAAAUCAGAGAGAAAUAUAAGUUGAACAAAGAGACAGAACACGAAUACACGAAUAAUUUAAAGGAAAUAAAAAUUGAACAGAGGGAAAGAUAAGAAAGGAUCUGAAACAGAGGAUUUCGGGUGCCUCUGCAGACAUUUGCUGCACAGAAUUCUCUUCAUGAUCUCAACUUGCAAUCUCCAUCAAAAAAUUUUGAUUGAACCGAGAUGUAAACCCGAGGAACAAAUAAAGUGGUUAACCCGAGUGAAGUUAACAAAAAUUAAUUGACCUGAGCCAACGCAUCAUUCGGCCGAUUUUUUUUUUACAUUUUAGAACCAAAAAAGCAUGCAUAAUCUGAACAAUUUUAAAUGUAAUUUAUUAUAUUCUCUCCAAAGAUUUGAGGUGUUGUAUGUUAAGUUGAGGUGAAAUAGGAAAGUUAAAUGCAAAAAGAUAAGAAAUGAGAAAAAGAAAAUAGAACCGGAAUGUAUCUAGACAAAACGCAUUCCUAAAUCGUACAUGUAAAACAGUGGGAGGAGACAUGUGGGUUCUCAAAGAGUACAAAUUUUCAAUAUGUCCGCUCUUUGGUGUCAAGAGAGAAUGAAUUUUUACUUUCCAUGAAAGUUUUUAGAUGCUCCUCCUAUAAUAUCUCUGCCUAAGGUACAUGAAGAUGAUAGGCGCAAUGAUCUCUAACGUAUGCAAAUUAUAGUGCGCGGGAAGAAUGUAAGUACCCCACCAUAUGAGAUCCACCGACAUUAGCUGGCGGAAAAGCAGCGACCGCUCAUGGUGAAGCAUGUAGCUGGCGGUGAACAGACGAUAGAGCCCGUCUCCGUGUGGGGAAGCUCCAUGUCGUCUCGAACCGCGUUGCCUCAUAAUUUAUUUGCAUGGGGAAUGUGGGUUGGUGUGUCACUGUUUGUCCUCUUCUUUUUUAAAGCAAUUUCUAUAUUGGAAGCCAACUGUCCACAGCUGAGUUAGCGUGGGGGGUUGACUCCCACCAAUCCUUCGUUGCCUCUCCUCAUCUCUCACACGUUUUCUCCCAUCUUCAUCUUCGGUAGGAAGUUAUAAAUACCAUCUCCACAUCUCUCCCAUUUCAUCAAUCAACGCAAACACUCCACAUCUCUCUCUCCUCUUCAGUCCUCACUCUCAUAUCAUCUCAUUGAGAUUUGCUUCUCUUCUUCAACUACAGCAGCAGCAGCAGCAGACAGAACACGCCCAAUAUGGCCUCCCUUUCUACUUCUUCGCUUUGCAUCGCCACUCUGCUUCUCGUGGUCGUUUCUUGGGGGACGUUUGCUUCCGCCCGCAACUUCUAUCAAGACUUCGACAUAACCUGGGGUGAUGGCCGAGCUCAGAUCCUCAACAACGGCGACCUCCUCACUCUCUCCCUCGACAAGGCCUCCGGCUCCGGCUUCCAGUCC